CUACGGGGGGCAGCAGUGGGGAAUAUUGGACAAUGGGGGCAACCCUGAUCCAGCCAUGCCGCGUGUGUGAAGAAGGCCCUCGGGUUGUAAAGCACUUUCAGUGAGGAAGAACGCCUGGUGGUUAAUACCCAUCAGGAAAGACAUCACUCACAGAAGAAGCACCGGCUAACUCCGUGCCAGCAGCCGCGGUAAUACGGAGGGUGCGAGCGUUAAUCGGAAUUACUGGGCGUAAAGCGCGCGUAGGUGGCUUGAUAAGCCGGUUGUGAAAGCCCCGGGCUCAACCUGGGAACGGCAUCCGGAACUGUCAAGCUAGAGUGCAGGAGAGGAAGGUAGAAUUCCCGGUGUAGCGGUGAAAUGCGUAGAGAUCGGGAGGAAUACCAGUGGCGAAGGCGGCCUUCUGGACUGACACUGACACUGAGGUGCGAAAGCGUGGGUAGCAAACAGGAUUAGAUACCCGAGUAGUC
RNAcentral lists this ribosomal RNA (464 nucleotides) under Vreelandella stevensii. RNAcentral's name for it is "partial 16S ribosomal RNA". It matches the Rfam family "Bacterial small subunit ribosomal RNA", at positions 339 to 795 of the family's 1533-position model. Lineage: Bacteria; Pseudomonadati; Pseudomonadota; Gammaproteobacteria; Oceanospirillales; Halomonadaceae. The record is from RNAcentral.